AUUGAACGCUGGCGGCAGGCCUUACACAUGCAAGUCGAGCGGAUGAAGGGAGCUUGCUCCUGGAUUCAGCGGCGGACGGGUGAGUAAUGCCUAGGAAUCUGCCUGGUAGUGGGGGAUAACGUCCGGAAACUGGCGCUAAUACCGCAUACGUCCUGAGUGAGAAAGUGGGGGAUCUUCGGACUUCACGCUAUCAGAUGAGCCUAGGUCGGAUUAGCUAGUUGGUGGGGUAAAGGCCUACCAAGGCGACGAUCCGUAACUGGUCUGAGAGGAUGAUCAGUCACACUGGAACUGAGACACGGUCCAGACUCCUACGGGAGGCAGCAGUGGGGAAUAUUGGACAAUGGGCGAAAGCCUGAUCCAGCCAUGCCGCGUGUGUGAAGAAGGUCUUCGGAUUGUAAAGCACUUUAAGUUGGGAGGAAGGGCAGUAAGUUAAUACCUUGCUGUUUUGACGUUACCAACAGAAUAAGCACCGGCUAACUUCGUG
This 484-nucleotide ribosomal RNA is filed under the name uncultured bacterium. RNAcentral describes it as "partial 16S ribosomal RNA". It matches the Rfam family "Bacterial small subunit ribosomal RNA", at positions 30 to 507 of the family's 1533-position model. The record is from RNAcentral.